CAAAGCCGCGAGGUGGAGCGAAUCUCCAAAAAUUGUCCCAGUUCAGAUUGCAGGCUGCAACUCGCCUGCAUGAAGUCGGAAUUGCUAGUAAUCGUGGAUCAGCAUGCCACGGUGAAUACGUUCCCGGGCCUUGUACACACCGCCCGUCACACCAUGGGAGUCGGUAACACCCGAAGCCUGUAGUCUAACCGCAAGGAGGACGCAGUCGAAGGUGGGAUUGAUGACUGGGGUGAAGUCGUAACAAGGUAGC
This 250-nucleotide ribosomal RNA is filed under the name uncultured bacterium. RNAcentral's name for it is "partial 16S ribosomal RNA". It matches the Rfam family "Bacterial small subunit ribosomal RNA", at positions 1250 to 1500 of the family's 1533-position model. The record is from RNAcentral.